CAGAGAUGGAUUGGUGCCUUCGGGAACUGUGAGACAGGUGCUGCAUGGCUGUCGUCAGCUCGUGUUGUGAAAUGUUGGGUUAAGUCCCGCAACGAGCGCAACCCUUAUCCUUUGUUGCCAGCGGUUCGGCCGGGAACUCAAAGGAGACUGCCAGUGAUAAACUGGAGGAAGGUGGGGAUGACGUCAAGUCAUCAUGGCCCUUACGACCAGGGCUACACACGUGCUACAAUGGCAUAUACAAAGAGAAGCGACCUCGCGAGAGCAAGCGGACCUCAUAAAGUAUGUCGUAGUCCGGAUUGGAGUCUGCAACUCGACUCCAUGAAGUCGGAAUCGCUAGUAAUCGUAGAUCAGAAUGCUACGGUGAAUACGUUCCCGG
Molecule: ribosomal RNA, 376 nt
Filed under: Klebsiella sp. GM11
Lineage: Bacteria; Pseudomonadati; Pseudomonadota; Gammaproteobacteria; Enterobacterales; Enterobacteriaceae
Description: bacterial SSU rRNA
Rfam family: Bacterial small subunit ribosomal RNA
Source: RNAcentral